CAAACUGUGGCACUACCUACCCAUAUCUUCCAGGCCCUUUUGUCCCCUCACCUGGGCGCCCUUGCUGCAUGGCGGAUACACUCCCUCCCAGUCCCAUCAUAGCACCUCUUAGAGCCUCAGUCUCUAUGGCACCAUAGGGUCAUCCUCUCCUCCCACCUACCUCACAGGGUUGUUGUGAGAAUCAGGGAGGAUCAUGGGGUUCCUGGGAGCCCUGAGUGUGUUGGGGCUACAAUCAUUACCUUCUUAGGGGAAGGGCUCUAGCCCCGCCCCUGUAUGGGACACUAUGGCCUCAGAUACUGGUGGGGGACAAUGUGAGGACUUUGCCAGGCAGGAAGGAAGUUACAGGCUUAACAGCACCUUGGCCACCACUUCUCUGUGCCACCGUGUGUUUGGCAGCAGAGUACAGUGUCCAGGGACUUGGGAUGGGGAAGGGGACAGGUGUAACGGGUUGAGCUGUCCCGCCCGUGUCUUGACCACCCCGGGAUGGGCACAUGUCUGUCAGUUGUGUCCCACCCGCCAUGAAAUAAAGCUGAACAAACAGGCUUGGCCUGGCUGC
This 556-nucleotide long non-coding RNA is filed under the name Mus musculus (house mouse). RNAcentral's name for it is "long non-coding RNA chr15:78438745-78439301". The record is from RNAcentral. Lineage: Eukaryota; Metazoa; Chordata; Mammalia; Rodentia; Muridae.